Molecule: small RNA, 66 nt
Filed under: Nematostella vectensis (starlet sea anemone)
Lineage: Eukaryota; Metazoa; Cnidaria; Anthozoa; Actiniaria; Edwardsiidae
Description: Repression of heat shock gene expression (ROSE) element
Rfam family: Repression of heat shock gene expression (ROSE) element
Source: Rfam by way of RNAcentral
UGUGGGAUGCCGAAGUCGGGUCCCGCGUUUAUCACUCGCUGAAUCUCAGGAGAUUUAAUCAUGAGC